GUUUCCGUAGUGUGGUGGUUAUCACGUUCGCCUACCACGUGAAAAGUCCCCCAUUCGAAACCGGGUGGAUACA
RNAcentral lists this transfer RNA (73 nucleotides) under Scleropages formosus (Asian bonytongue). RNAcentral's name for it is "tRNA-Gly". Lineage: Eukaryota; Metazoa; Chordata; Actinopteri; Osteoglossiformes; Osteoglossidae. The record is from RNAcentral.